UACGAAGGGGGCUAGCGUUGCUCGGAAUCACUGGGCGUAAAGCGCACGUAGGCGGCUUUCUAAGUCAGGGGUGAAAUCCUGGAGCUCAACUCCAGAACUGCCUUUGAUACUGGAAAGCUUGAGUUCGGGAGAGGUGAGUGGAACUGCGAGUGUAGAGGUGAAAUUCGUAGAUAUUCGCAAGAACACCAGUGGCGAAGGCGGCUCACUGGCCCGAUACUGACGCUGAGGUGCGAAAGCGUGGGGAGCGAACAGG
This 253-nucleotide ribosomal RNA is filed under the name uncultured bacterium. RNAcentral describes it as "partial 16S ribosomal RNA". It matches the Rfam family "Bacterial small subunit ribosomal RNA", at positions 524 to 776 of the family's 1533-position model. The record is from RNAcentral.